This 218-nucleotide unclassified non-coding RNA is filed under the name Hevea brasiliensis (rubber tree). The record is from RNAcentral. Lineage: Eukaryota; Viridiplantae; Streptophyta; Magnoliopsida; Malpighiales; Euphorbiaceae.
UGCAUCCAAGAGGAUCCAUCUCUAAGACCGUCCGUGAGGACUGUGACACAGAUGCUUGAAGGCGUUGUUCAAGUUUCUGUGCCACCAUGUCCUUCCCCAUUUAGUUCAAUCUGCUGAAACUAUCCUUUUGUCAUUUCUUUAGUUGUAUAACUCCUAGCAUCAUUAGAUAUUGAAUUCAAUAUUGUCGAUUAUUUCUGUAUCCAUUCACAGGGUCCAUG